Molecule: ribosomal RNA, 1264 nt
Filed under: metagenome
Description: SSU rRNA
Rfam family: Eukaryotic small subunit ribosomal RNA
Source: RNAcentral
UAAACGGACCAUCGAGUAUCCAUUGGAGGGCAAGUCUGGUGCCAGCAGCUGCGGUAAUACCAGCUCCAAUAGCGUAUAUUAAAGUUGUUGCAGUUAAAAAGCUCGUAGUUGGACUUGUGUGCGCUGUCCGCGGGUGGCCUGCGCCCAAAAGGGCGUUUCGGUUCGGCCCCGGUGGCGCCUUGAAAUCUGCAGCUGGGGGGACGUUGGCCUUAACUGGUCGGCGACCGCACGCCGGCUGCUCGGUUACUGUGAGAAAAUUAGAGUGUUCAAGGCAGGCAUUGGGUGCAAUUGAAUACAUUAGCAUGGAAUAAUAAAAUAUGGCUCCUGCCGUAUUUUGUUGGUUUUGACUGGUGGGAGUAAUGAUUGAUAGGGACGGUUGGGGGUGCUAGUAUUGAGCGGCCAGAGGUGAAAUUCAUGGAUUCGCUCAAGACUAACUUAUGCGAAAGCAUUCACCAAGGACGUCCUCUUUAAUCAAGAACGAAAGUUGGGGGAUCGAAGACGAUCAGAUACCGUCGUGGUCUCAACCAUAAACUAUGUCGACUUGGGAUCGGCGGUAGUUUUUUCAUUAAGACACUGUCGGGACCACGGGAGAAAUCAAAGUGUCUGGACUCUGGGGGAAGUAUGGUCGCAAGGCUGAAACUUGAAGGAAUUGACGGAAGGGCACCACCAGGAGUGGAGCCUGCGGCUUAAAUUGACACAACGCGGGGAAACUUACCAGGUCCAGAGAUGUAGAGGAUUGACAGAUUGAAGCUCUUUCUUGAUCACUUCGGUGGUGGUGCAUGGCCGUUCUUAGUUGGUGGAGUGAUUUGUCUGGUUAAUUCCGUUAACGAACGAGACCUCAGCCUGCUAGUGUAGUCGGCUGGAUUGCCUUUGGCGAUCCGUGAUUUCGACUUCUUAGAGGGACAAUCGACGCGCAGUCGAUGGAAGUUUGAGGCAAUAACAGGUCUGUGAUGCCCUUAGAUGUUCUGGGCCGCACGCGCGCUACACUGCUGGGCUCAGCGAGUUUUACUUGGCCGAGAGGCCCGGUUAAUCUUGUGAAAUCCCAGCGUGCUUGGGCUCGCCUCCUGCAACUGGAGGCGCCAACGAGGAAUUCCUAGUAGACGCAGGUCAUCAACCUGCAUCGAUUACGUCCCUGCCCUUUGUACACACCGCCCGUCGUUCCAUAAGAGUGAGGCAUCCGGUGAAUUUUCGGGAGAGCCUGGGCGUGGCCAGCAAUGGUCUGCUCGGGUUUGAACUUGCAUAAACUUGGUGCCUAUGAUUAGGG